ACACAUGCAAGUCGAGCGGUAGCACAGAGAGCUUGCUCUCGGGUGACGAGCGGCGGACGGGUGAGUAAUGUCUGGGAAACUGCCUGAUGGAGGGGGAUAACUACUGGAAACGGUAGCUAAUACCGCAUAAUGUCGCAAGACCAAAGUGGGGGACCUUCGGGCCUCAUGCCAUCAGAUGUGCCCAGAUGGGAUUAGCUAGUAGGUGGGGUAACGGCUCACCUAGGCGACGAUCCCUAGCUGGUCUGAGAGGAUGACCAGCCACACUGGAACUGAGACACGGUCCAGACUCCUACGGGAGGCAGCAGUGGGGAAUAUUGCACAAUGGGCGCAAGCCUGAUGCAGCCAUGCCGCGUGUGUGAAGAAGGCCUUCGGGUUGUAAAGCACUUUCAGCGGGGAGGAAGGCGAUAAGGUUAAUAACCUUGUCGAUUGACGUUACCCGCAGAAGAAGCACCGGCUAACUCCGUGCCAGCAGCCGCGGUAAUACGGAGGGUGCAAGCGUUAAUCGGAAUUACUGGGCGUAAAGCGCACGCAGGCGGUCUGUCAAGUCGGAUGUGAAAUCCCCGGGCUCAACCUGGGAACUGCAUUCGAAACUGGCAGGCUAGAGUCUUGUAGAGGGGGGUAGAAUUCCAGGUGUAGCGGUGAAAUGCGUAGAGAUCUGGAGGAAUACCGGUGGCGAAGGCGGCCCCCUGGACAAAGACUGACGCUCAGGUGCGAAAGCGUGGGGAGCAAACAGGAUUAGAUACCCUGGUAGUCCACGCCGUAAACGAUGUCGAUUUGGAGGUUGUGCCCUUGAGGCGUGGCUUCCGGAGCUAACGACGUUAAAUCGACCGCCUGGGGAGUACGGCCGCAAGGUUAAAACUCAAAUGAAUUGACGGGGGCCCGCACAAGCGGUGGAGCAUGUGGUUUAAUUCGAUGCCAACGCGAAGAACCUUACCUGGUUCUUGAACAUCCACAGGAACUUU
This 962-nucleotide ribosomal RNA is filed under the name Klebsiella pneumoniae. RNAcentral describes it as "bacterial SSU rRNA". It matches the Rfam family "Bacterial small subunit ribosomal RNA", at positions 51 to 1000 of the family's 1533-position model. The record is from RNAcentral. Lineage: Bacteria; Pseudomonadati; Pseudomonadota; Gammaproteobacteria; Enterobacterales; Enterobacteriaceae.